Long non-coding RNA from Ruditapes philippinarum (Manila clam), 1069 nucleotides. RefSeq lists it as uncharacterized. The record is from RefSeq and is a predicted model, not a curated record. The transcript has 3 exons. Lineage: Eukaryota; Metazoa; Mollusca; Bivalvia; Venerida; Veneridae.
AUUAUACUUUUAUAAUCAUUCUUCAAAUUCAUAAAUUCUUCUUAACAAUACUCUCAAAUUCAACAAAAUGAAUCAUUAAAUUGAAUUUCCCCUUCAUAAUGAAAAUAAAUUUUCUUAAUAAAAACAUCUAAAAAAUGGGAGUGAAACGUCCAUACAAUUGACAAAAUGGGAGUGAAACGUCUAGGUGUUAACCGUCUUGGGAGUGAAACGUCUCAAUAGUGAAACGUCUUGGGAGUGAAAUCCCUAGUUUCGAAAUUUGACAUUCAUUGAAAGAUUGUAACAAUUGAAACCAAAAAGUAUAGCAAUAUGUCGGAUCAGAGGUGACACUAUACAAACAUUUGAAAUUGUUUAACUAGUCAAAAACCACUGUAAAUUUUAACAAUUCUUCAGUUACACCUAUUCAACAAGGGAACUUAAUUUAAACUUUACAUAGCAUUGUGCAGAAUGAUAUUUUCUGAAGAGAAGUAAUUAAUACAUGGAACUAUUCUUCAACAUGUUGAUGCUAAGAAUCAAUGUUAACAGAUUUUGUGUCAAGCAUUUGUGACAAAUUUUGUCUAAUGAACUGGAGAACCCAUUUAACUAGAUCUCUGCAGAAAGGACAACAGCAUAAAAACUAGCAAUCUAACAUUUGAAGGCUGUAGAAAUCUACAUGUAUGUGCCAAACAAUUUCUAGAGGGAGCAGAGCUUAAAUAUGUAUCUUACAGGUGGGAAGGUAUUGUGUAUUGCCAAACUUCCCAUAUUUCAUCUAUUGCAGUGCUUAAAUGUUUAAUUCCGGUUUGACAGAGGAUGCCAUAUUCAUUUUGCUGCUUCAAGACAAAGAAGAUGCACAUUCAUUUGAACAGUUAUAAAAUCAUGGAUCAUGUUAUGACUAAUCACUAACAUCUUAUGUUAUACAUAAUGUCAAAGUUAAAUAUAUUUGGUAAAGCUUGACAAUAAUAUAUAUAUAUUAUAUAAAUCAUCAAUAUAAAUGAAGUGACAAUUUAUCUGGAUAUACGACAUUGAUUAUUUAAUUAUUUGUCUGUAACAAUAUAAAAGAUUUAGUAAUGUUUCUAUAUAAUAAAAAAGUAAG